RNAcentral lists this ribosomal RNA (135 nucleotides) under uncultured bacterium. RNAcentral's name for it is "partial 16S ribosomal RNA". It matches the Rfam family "Bacterial small subunit ribosomal RNA", at positions 392 to 524 of the family's 1533-position model. The record is from RNAcentral.
CCAUGCCGCGUGCAGGAUGACGGCCCUAUGGGUUGUAAACUGCUUUUAUACAGGAAGAAAAAACUCUACGUGUAGAGUCUUGACGGUACUGUAAGAAUAAGGAUCGGCUAACUCCGUGCCAGCAGCCGCGGUAAU